GCGUUCGUAGCUUAAAAGGAUAAAGCAUUAGUUUCCGAAACUAAAAAUCAGAGGUUCAAAUCCUCUCGAACGCA
RNAcentral lists this transfer RNA (74 nucleotides) under Candidatus Azosocius agrarius. RNAcentral describes it as "tRNA-Arg". It matches the Rfam family "tRNA". From Rfam's summary of the family: Transfer RNA (tRNA) molecules are approximately 80 nucleotides in length. Their secondary structure includes four short double-helical elements and three loops (D, anti-codon, and T loops). Further hydrogen bonds mediate the characteristic L-shaped molecular structure. tRNAs have two regions of fundamental functional importance: the anti-codon, which is responsible for specific mRNA codon recognition, and the 3' end, to which the tRNAs corresponding amino acid is attached (by aminoacyl-tRNA synthetases). tRNAs cope with the degeneracy of the genetic code in two manners: having more than one tRNA (with a specific anti-codon) for a particular amino acid; and 'wobble' base-pairing, i.e. permitting non-standard base-pairing at the 3rd anti-codon position. The record is from RNAcentral. Lineage: Bacteria; Pseudomonadati; Pseudomonadota; Gammaproteobacteria; Candidatus Azoamicaceae.